RNAcentral lists this long non-coding RNA (1225 nucleotides) under Cyanistes caeruleus (blue tit). Its description in RNAcentral is "lncRNA (ENSCCEG00000008019.1)". Lineage: Eukaryota; Metazoa; Chordata; Aves; Passeriformes; Paridae. The record is from RNAcentral.
GUUCUUUUUUCUGUCAAUUCACAAAUGAAAAAGUCCAGUGAGAGCAUUUUGUAUAUGCACAUAGUUGUAGCAAAGAGCUGAAGCAUAUUAAUGAAUUUCUCAUGUAUUCAUCAUUGUAUCCCCUUACUGCAGGCUACUGAAGUCUCUGAUUAAGAAAGCAUGGAACCAAAGACAAGAAAACACAAAAAUAACUGGAAAAUUCCCUAUCAUAUGAUGCAAGACUGAAGCGUAAAAAAUUAUAACACAAGGCAGAGAACAUUCCAUUCUCCCAGAGGAUCUCUAAAGGAAUGGAUGAGGAACAACAAUUAAGUAGUGAAGUCUGCUUCACUAUGCACUCUCUGGAUUAUCCUCGUAUCAUCAUGAGCACUUCCCUGUAGCCUCAAAACUACAGAAAAAGACAGAUCAGCAGAUCUUCCCCAUAAAGACACCUUGUGAAGGCUGUGAAGGUAGUAAGUCCUUAUCAGACUCUCUUCCCUUUUCUGUCACACUAUUCUCCCUUUACACUCACUAUUCUUGUCUAAGUAAUUAUAUCAGUUUUCUGGUGACAAGGGGAAUCUCUCUCCUCUUUAUUGUAGAACUUCUUUCAGCAUUACUGUUUCCCUACAAAUAGUCCUUUUCCAUUUCUAGUAUUAUUUCCUCCUGUUAUAUUCCAUAUGUUUUACAUUAUUUUCUCUCAGUGUGUUAGCUUGUGAGACACGUUCUUUCUAGAGUUGCUUUCCCCCCAUGAUUUAGUUGUGUUACUGUUGAUCUGUCUACACUGUUAUUUGUAUCUCCUAACAAAUUAGAAUCAUAUUGUAGCAUUUUACCAUACAAUGAGUAUUUUUACAUCCUUAAUCAGGAAACACGAUGGCUUUGUAUCUGAUCUCAUUGGCAUAGCACAUAGUACUACUUAAUCUCCAGCUUUUUUUUCCUCCUCCUUCCUCUUCCUUUUCCCAGUUUUCUCUGUCUUACUUCUCUGCUGCAUCUUCAAAAAUCCACAUAUGUGCAGAUGUCACUGUGCAUGUAAAAAAAAUUCAUGUCUUGAUCUGGACUACUGUUUCCCUACAAAUCAUGUCUUUUUUAAGGUCAGAUCACUUUAAACUAAUCUGUUCUGCCAAGGAUUAAGACAUCUCCAUUUACAAUUCAUGCAUUGGUCUGUCAGUCACAAGGUUUCUAUUAACCCAUUAUGUUGUCACAGCCCUGAGAUGAUGGGUUUUGUUGGAUUUUUUUUUUCCUGGGUUCUGUG